CUAAGAAUCUUCCGCAAUGGGGGAAACCCUGACGGAGCGACGCCGCGUGGACGAAGAAGGCCGCAAGGUUGUAAAGUCCUUUUGCAGACGAAGAAUAGGCUUCGGAGUGGAACGCCGGAGCGAUGACGUUAGUCUGCGAAUAAGCCCCGGCCAAUUACGUGCCAGCAGCCGCGGUAACACGUAUGGGGCAAGCGUUGUUCGGAAUCACUGGGCGUAAAGGGCGUGUAGGCGGUUCGGGAAGCCUGGCGUGAAAGGUGUCGGCCCAACCGACAGACGGCGCGAGGAACUGCCGGACUGGAGUCAUGGAGGGGGAGCUGGAAUUCCAGGUGUAGGGGUGAAAUCUGUAGAGAUCUGGAAGAACACCGGUGGCGAAGGCGGGCUCCUGGCCAAUGACUGACGCUGAGGCGCGAAAGCGUGGGGAGCAAACAGG
RNAcentral lists this ribosomal RNA (430 nucleotides) under uncultured Spirochaeta sp. RNAcentral's name for it is "bacterial SSU rRNA". It matches the Rfam family "Bacterial small subunit ribosomal RNA", at positions 355 to 776 of the family's 1533-position model. The record is from RNAcentral. Lineage: Bacteria; Pseudomonadati; Spirochaetota; Spirochaetia; Spirochaetales; Spirochaetaceae.